UGAACCUCCUGACCCUGACCCCUCUGACCCUCCUGACCAUCCUGACCCUGACCCUUCUCAUGACCCUCCUGACCCUUCUCCUGACCAAACUGAGUGUCUGAACAAGACGGGCCUUGGUCAGGGAGGAGACCUGGUUCCAGACACCUCCUCUCCCACAGAUUCAGAGGUGACGGGAGGUCGAGCACCUCGGCAGCUCUCCGCCCAUCAGGCCGACAGGCGGCGUGUCGUGUCCGCUCCCCACAUCCCUGCAGAUGAAGCAACGUGGACUCAGCAUCACGUUCAGGGUCACAUUUACUUUACUUUUACUCGUUCCGAUUUAUUCAAACUUGCAGCCUGUAGCUUUGAGGCCGAGAGUUGAAACGUGCACUAAAUAUUCACUUUUCCUUUCAGGAGUCUGGAAUGCGUCGGAAAACUCCUCAUCGAUCGUGUUUCAGGAGCGUCUUCCUCACAGACACACCUCCUCAUCAUAAUGUCGUGUUGAGAUUUAUCCUCGACUGUGAACUCGGCCUGAGCUCUGACACUAACUCGUGGUCUUCACACUAAACACAGGUUUAGUGUUUCUUUCUGUUUCUCUUCCUUCACAUUUCUGCUCCUCGGUCUCAGGCGACAUUCGGUCCCCGUGACGACAGAAGAAGAGGCGGCGACGCACACAGAAAGAAACACGCUUAAUCCCCGUUUAAUCUGCACCUGCGACGGGAUCGGCCACCGGCUGAGACUCGAGUACAGACAUCAGACAUCACACACAGACUCCGGGGAACAAGAAAUCAAAUCUGUUGGUUUUCUGGGAGCAAUUCUACAUCUGUGUCACGCACUAAUGACGCGUGUCCAUUGGAGUUGAGCCGCUACAGAAGGCGAGAGGCAGAUGAGAGGAUGAGAGCAGAGAAGAUCUCAGAGCGAGGGAUUUGGAUGAGGAGACGAGAAAGAACAGAGGAGGUGAAGAGAAACCGAGAUGCAGAAAGAAAGAGAGAGAGAACGGGAAGAAAAGAAGAGCGCAGACUUAAAGGGGCAGUUAGAAAUUUUAAUCCAAUACACGUUUUGUAUAAAAUCAGCUAAUAUUUCCUCAAAGACUGGAAAAAUAAUCUGGAAAAAUGGUGCGGACCGAACCGCACCUCACUGUGUCGUAGGUAAACAUCACGACACAUUAACAGACGAGCUAGCGACGGACGCUAGGACCCAGGGGUUUUGGCCUGGUGGUAAGCGCGUCAGGCUGCGGGUUCGGGCCCCGACCAGGGCCGGACAAUCACCAUCCACAGCUACAACGGAAAAACACCUCACUGCCCCUUUGACUCAAUUCGAGUCGAACAGGCAGAAACCUGGGAGACGUCCGAGAACACGGACGGAACAUGAGACGACCACGGACGAGACUUAAAAAGGUAAACCCCGCCCUCUCGUCUAAUGUCAGCUGGGAUCUGGCUCCGCCCCCCUCACAAACACACAUCGACGAGGUUUGUUACGUCGUCUGGUUUUGACUCGUCACCUCUGAACAUCAAACUCCAGGACCUGUCACUCAAACUGACAUUCCUGGAUUCUGUUUCGUCUUCUCACCGGUUCCUCUCCCCGCCUCACGCCAGUACAACCCCCUCCUCUUUAAGUACCCUGACGAACAGAUUCCCUCAGCCAGACGGGCAGCGACAGAGCAAAGUCCUCAGCAGCAGUGAUUCACCCACUUCAGUCUUCGAAAGGACGAGGCUGCGAUCAAGAGAGAGAGAGAAGAAGGCCGACCACACCUGGGCGUCCAUGUUGGUGACUCAGGCCCUGACUCAGAGGCGGAUCAUCCUGCUGCCGGAGCUUCAGCACAGCAGACGUUUGGUCCGAGAGGACGGAUGAGAGAAGCAGAUGAGAAGGAGCUCGUCCGCCUGGAAUUCAAAAGAUGGCCGACAACGAUGUAACGUCUCAUGUAUUUUGACUUUACACUUUGAUUUGGUUAUGGUUAAGGUUCGUUGGCGUUUUAACUACAUUUAACGAUCGAAACGACGGCACUACAACAAAAGAGUCACUACAUCGACCGCUGUUCUGUCGCUUCUCCGCCACAGUUUAAUAUGUGGCCGAUAAUGAGACUGUUACGCCGGUCGCCAACCACCAUUAAAAACAACAGAGGAUAACAUUCAUACUCUUCCUCAUCUUGUAUAUGAUUGAUUACAGUUUCACAUCAAAUAUUGAUUCAGUCCAGGCAUGGCCGGAAUCGAACCCACAAUCUUGGGUUGACGAGACCAACACCUUAUGACUUGGCCACCGCGUCUUGAGCAAGUGGAAGGAAGGCCAUCUUCAUCCCUGGUACAUUCACUCGUAUGCUAAAGGAGAUAGGAAAGGAAGCUCCUUUCGUUAAACAUUUAGAGAAUCCGAACAGAUGAUGAGGAAACUCUUCCUUCAAGAUUUAGGAAACUUCCUCAGCAAAUCGUACGAUUCGACCGCAGCCCGCAGCCCGACGUUCCACAUGCAGACAAACACCGUGCGUCCAUUUUACUACGGUGGCCCUGAAGUGCAAAACACAACUGGAAGUUGUGUAUUUGUGAUUUGUACCGUACGUCACGGCCCCAGCGUUCUUCUCCUCUGAGAUCCUCCAGCGAGCUCCUCACCUCAGGAACCUCGGGAAGUUUAAUUCUGAAACGAAUUCUCAUCGUCUGUGUGACAAAAAUCUCUGCGUUGGAUCGAAACGUUGCUUCAUUAACGUGGAUUUCUUUUGAACGUCGUCACAGUGUGACGUCUGACAACAUGAAGACGAGGCGCUGGAGUCUCAUCCUGGCGUCCAGCAGGGGGCAGCAGAGGCUGAGGGUGCCACCAGGAAGUCCUCCAUCCAUGACCUGGAGGAACUAUUUCCCUGCUCCCGACGACCAACACGUCAUCGGUACCCGGUGUCGGCGCGGACGGCGAGGAGGAAGAUGUCAGAGCGAUCUGAGUUAUUUUUGGUCUGUUGUAUUAAUCUCCUUAUGAAUCCUGUGCAACGAUGUCGCUUCCCGGUUUUUUCUCGUGUUGUUGGUCGCUCAGCAACAGAAUGAUGAGCUGGGUGAUGAAACCACUUGAACAUGAGGCUCUCGACUUCAGACCUCAUCAGGAAGUUGACUCAGACGAGACACGCGCCUCGCCUCAUUGGUCCCGGGGGUCUGUCAAUCACUGGAGGUGACGCAACGCUGUCUGGCUCUGUUGAUCCACUGCACACACACACACACACACACACACACACGCACACGCACACACACACACACAUGCACACACACACGCACACACACUCUCAAGGACUAAUAGUUUUGAAAUGAUGAAUAUUUUAUUAAUGUCUUUUGUAAAACCGUUCUAAAUGAGAAAGGAGCUGUGUACUUUGUGUUUUGCCAAUAUAUUUAUAUACAUGUAUGUCUAUAUAUUUUGAGGAACAAGACAAUACGCUGUGUUCUCAUGUUCUGUCACAAGAUGUUCAGCCGUUCAGUGUUUCCAGUUUCCUCCCUCCCCGGGUUUGGCCUUUCAGCCGUGAAGGCUGCAACAAUAAGGGCGAAUAAAAGCGCCAGAGGAGCAGCGGCAGGUUUUCACUCUGUCGCCUGUCGGCAGGACGAUGAAGGAUGAAGGAUGAAGGAUGAAGGAUGAACUCAGUGUGGAGCUUAUGUCGUUUGGUCGAGUCCCACCACACGCAGGGGCGUAGCACCAGCUUCUGGGCCCUGGCCACACGAUGGGGGGGGGGGGGGGGGGUUGACCGACCUGAUGACAUCAUCAGCCCAUGCAUCAUCCAGGUGACCUCAUCACCUGGUCAGCAGCGUUGUGACACUGGUGUGAAAACACGUUCUUGACCAGAUACACACAAAUAACCCUCAUGGUCCACUUCAGUCUGGGAGAUGUCCGAUCCAUCGCAGGGUCUUCGUCAGUUUUAAAAUUGUUAUUUAUUAAAGUAAAUUCAAAUGAGAAAAUACACUCAGUUUCCACAGCUGCCAGUUAAUUAGGAACACGUGGAUAAAGCAAAAGCUAAUGUGGCUUUGUACAACAGUCCUGUAAUAACUCGCUCAUAAUGUUCAUUUAAAAGUGUUUUGCAGAAAUGUUGAUUCAUCUGUGAGGUCGUUCUGCAGAAUUUAGUUUGAGGAGCUGUUUAACUGUGUUUCUAUUAUUAUUGUUAUUAUUCUAUUAGUUUACUUACAGUAAUAAAUAGGUGUACACAGGGUCCUGCGCCGGCUGCAUCAUAAUAAAGUAUAUUAUUGUUUUAAUGUUCUAUAUUUAUCUUAUUGUCCCAAAACAAACCAUGGAUUUAUUCUUUUAAAAAGGUUUCGUCUGUUUAUGUAAAAACUUGAGCUUGGAACACUUUUUUAAGAAAUGACGAAGCCGAGAACAGUUCCUGUCUCAUCCUUUAAUCCAUGAACUCAGUUGUUAAGUGUGAAUAAUAUCAAUAGUAACGAUGAUAAAAAAAUUAUCAUAUUUUGAUUCAACGCCGUCAGUUCUUUGUCCGAGGUGUGUGUCUGUGUGUGUGUGUGUGUCUGUGUGUGUGUCUGUGUGUGUGAGAGUUUGUGUUUGUGUGUGUGUGUGUGAGAGAGUGUUUGUGUGUGUGUGUGUGUGUGUGUGUCUCUGUG
Molecule: long non-coding RNA, 4541 nt
Organism: Scophthalmus maximus (turbot)
Lineage: Eukaryota; Metazoa; Chordata; Actinopteri; Pleuronectiformes; Scophthalmidae
Exons: 3
Source: RefSeq, a predicted model, not a curated record